GGGGCAUUAGCUCAUCUGGCUAGAGCGUUAGACUGGCAGUCUAAAGGUGGCGAGUUCGAGUCUCGCAUGCUCCACAA
Molecule: transfer RNA, 77 nt
Filed under: Phocaeicola massiliensis B84634 = Timone 84634 = DSM 17679 = JCM 13223
Lineage: Bacteria; Pseudomonadati; Bacteroidota; Bacteroidia; Bacteroidales; Bacteroidaceae
Also listed under: 4 other names
Description: Bacteroides massiliensis B84634 = Timone 84634 = DSM 17679 = JCM 13223 tRNA-Ala
Rfam family: tRNA
About the family: Transfer RNA (tRNA) molecules are approximately 80 nucleotides in length. Their secondary structure includes four short double-helical elements and three loops (D, anti-codon, and T loops).
Source: RNAcentral